GACGAACGCUGGCGGCGUGCUUAACACAUGCAAGUCGAACGGAAAGGCCCUGCUUUUGUGGGGUGCUCGAGUGGCGAACGGGUGAGUAACACGUGAGUAACCUGCCCUUGACUUUGGGAUAACUUCAGGAAACUGGGGCUAAUACCGGAUAGGAGCUCCUGCUGCAUGGGGGGGGUUGGAAAGUUUCGGCGGUUGGGGAUGGACUCGCGGCUUAUCAGCUUGUUGGUGGGGUAGUGGCUUACCAAGGCUUUGACGGGUAGCCGGCCUGAGAGGGUGACCGGCCACAUUGGGCCUGAGAUACGGCCCAGACUCCUACGGGCGGCAGCAGUGGGGAAUAUUGCACAAUGGGCGGACGCCUGAUGCAGCAACGCCGCGUGCGGGAUGCCGGCCUUCGGGUUGUAAACCGCUUUCGCCUGUGACGAAGCGUGCGUGACGGUAAUGGGUCAAGAAGCACCGGCUAACUACGUG
Molecule: ribosomal RNA, 468 nt
Filed under: uncultured bacterium
Lineage: Bacteria
Description: partial 16S ribosomal RNA
Rfam family: Bacterial small subunit ribosomal RNA
Source: RNAcentral